Molecule: transfer RNA, 136 nt
Filed under: Candidatus Jordarchaeia archaeon
Lineage: Archaea; Promethearchaeati; Candidatus Jordarchaeia
Description: tRNA-Tyr
Rfam family: tRNA
About the family: Transfer RNA (tRNA) molecules are approximately 80 nucleotides in length. Their secondary structure includes four short double-helical elements and three loops (D, anti-codon, and T loops). Further hydrogen bonds mediate the characteristic L-shaped molecular structure. tRNAs have two regions of fundamental functional importance: the anti-codon, which is responsible for specific mRNA codon recognition, and the 3' end, to which the tRNAs corresponding amino acid is attached (by aminoacyl-tRNA synthetases). tRNAs cope with the degeneracy of the genetic code in two manners: having more than one tRNA (with a specific anti-codon) for a particular amino acid; and 'wobble' base-pairing, i.e. permitting non-standard base-pairing at the 3rd anti-codon position.
Source: RNAcentral
CCCCCCGUAGCUUAGUGGUAGAGCGCUCGGCUGUAGACCGAGAUGCUCCGGGACAACCGGAGACGGGCAUUCGUCUCUUAACCACCUCUAAACUUGGCUGAGCCUAGGGUCCCCGGUUCAAAUCCGGGCGGGGGGA